CAGAGGUAGUUUAAAAAAAUAUAGGCUUUGGGUGUCUAAGAUGUUAGAGGGUCUAAUUCUUUGA
RNAcentral lists this transfer RNA (64 nucleotides) under Amphiophiura penichra. Its description in RNAcentral is "tRNA-Pro". The record is from RNAcentral. Lineage: Eukaryota; Metazoa; Echinodermata; Ophiuroidea; Amphilepidida; Ophiuridae.